This 26-nucleotide non-coding RNA is filed under the name Mus musculus (house mouse). Lineage: Eukaryota; Metazoa; Chordata; Mammalia; Rodentia; Muridae. The record is from RNAcentral.
UGACUUCAUUGGAAAUUUUAAAUCGU